GAUGAACGCUGGCUACAGGCUUAACACAUGCAAGUCGAGGGGAAACGACGGGGAAGCUUGCUUCCCCGGGCGUCGACCGGCGCACGGGUGAGUAACGCGUAUCCAACCUGCCUCUGACUGAGGGAUAACCCGUCGAAAGUCGGCCUAAUACCUCAUGGCAUCGUCUGCGGGCAUCCAACGACGAUUAAAGAUUUCAUCGGUCAGAGAUGGGGAUGCGUCUGAUUAGCUUGUUGGCGGGGUAACGGCCCGCCAAGGCGACGAUCAGUAGGGGUUCUGAGAGGAAGGUCCCCCACAUUGGAACUGAGACACGGUCCAAACUCCUACGGGAGGCAGCAGUGAGGAAUAUUGGUCAAUGGGCGAGAGCCUGAACCAGCCAAGUAGCGUGCAGGAUGACGGCCCUAUGGGUUGUAAACUGCUUUUAUGCGGGGAUAAAGUGAGGGACGUGUCCUUCAUUGCAGGUACCGCAUGAAUAAGGACCGGCUAAUUCCGU
RNAcentral lists this ribosomal RNA (490 nucleotides) under uncultured bacterium. RNAcentral's name for it is "partial 16S ribosomal RNA". It matches the Rfam family "Bacterial small subunit ribosomal RNA", at positions 28 to 506 of the family's 1533-position model. The record is from RNAcentral.